Ribosomal RNA from Astyanax mexicanus (Mexican tetra), 119 nucleotides. Lineage: Eukaryota; Metazoa; Chordata; Actinopteri; Characiformes; Acestrorhamphidae. The record is from Rfam.
GCUUACGGUCACACUACCCUGCGAACGCCCGAUCUCGUCUGAUCUCGGAAGCUAAGCAGGGUUUGGCCUGGUUAGUACUUGGAUGGGAGACCACCUGGGAAUACCAGGUGCUGUAAGCU